AGGAUAAACGCUGGCGGCGUGCCUAACACAUGCAAGUCGAACGUCUCUUCUUUCGGGAAGAGGAGUGGCGGACGGGUGAGGAACACGUGGGAACCUGCCCUUUAGUGAGGAAUACCGGCGAGAAAUCGCCGACAAGACCGCAUAGCCCUCUUUGAUGAGAGUCAAAGAAGGAAAGCUUCGCAAGAGGCGCUAGAGGAGGGGCCUGCGUCCGAUUAGCUAGUUGGUGGGGUAAGAGCCUACCAAGGCGUCGAUCGGUAGCUGGUCUGAGAGGACGAUCAGCCACACUGGGGAUUGAGAACGGCCCAGACUCCUACGGGGGGCAGCAGUGAGGAAUUUUCGGCAAUGGGGGAAACCCUGACCGAGCAACGCCGCGUGCAGGAAGACGGCCUUCGGGUUGUAACUGCUUUUCUUUGGGAAGAGGAAGGACGGUACCAGAGGAAUCAGCCCCGGCUCACUACGUGCCAGCAGCCGC
Molecule: ribosomal RNA, 472 nt
Filed under: uncultured bacterium
Lineage: Bacteria
Description: SSU rRNA
Rfam family: Bacterial small subunit ribosomal RNA
Source: RNAcentral